This 534-nucleotide ribosomal RNA is filed under the name uncultured delta proteobacterium. RNAcentral's name for it is "bacterial SSU rRNA". It matches the Rfam family "Bacterial small subunit ribosomal RNA", at positions 1 to 523 of the family's 1533-position model. The record is from RNAcentral. Lineage: Bacteria; Deltaproteobacteria.
AGUCGAUAGAGUUUGAUCCUGGCUCAGAGCGAACGUUAGCGGCGGGCCUAACACAUGCAAGUCGAGCGAGAAAGGGGCUUCGGCCCCGAGUACAGCGGCGGACGGGUGAGUAAUACGUAGGUAACCUGCCUUUCAGUGGGGGACAACGGUCCGAAAGGACCGCUAAUACCGCAUCCGUUUCCCGGGUCCCCGGACCUGGGAAGGAAAGCUGCCCGCAAGGGUGGCGCUGGAAGAGGGGCCUACGUCGCAUCAGCUAGUUGGUGGGGUAAUGGCCUACCAAGGCGAAGACGCGUAGCUGGUCUGAGAGGAUGAUCAGCCACACUGGGACUGAGACACGGCCCAGACUCCUACGGGAGGCAGCAGUGGGGAAUAUUGGACAAUGGGGGCAACCCUGAUCCAGCCACGCCGCGUGAGUGAUGAAGGCCUUCGGGUCGUAAAGCUCUGUGGGGAGAGACGAACGUCCGGCAUGACCUGUCGGGGUGACGGUAUCUCCUUAGCAAGCACCGGCUAACUUCGUGCCAGCAGCCGCGGUAA